This 527-nucleotide long non-coding RNA is filed under the name Setaria italica (foxtail millet). RNAcentral describes it as "long non-coding RNA (SITA_LNC000594)". Lineage: Eukaryota; Viridiplantae; Streptophyta; Magnoliopsida; Poales; Poaceae. The record is from RNAcentral.
ACAGAUGCAUGCAUGUUGGCAGGCUUGCAGCCAGUUGAUCUGAAUCACAAACACCGUGUGAAACUUUUUUUUCCCCCCCGACCCUUCGACAUGUACGUAUCUUUCUUUUCGCAGGCCGUUCUCGAUCGUGGCCGCUUGGUGGUAUCAUCAUCCAUUUGAGUGGGAGCGGCGAAGACGGAAGACCCGGUCGUCGCCUCGUCGGCAUGCCCGUAGGGACUUGUCAUCAUCCACGCGACCGCAUCAGUGCCCACAACGUACGGUAUGGGCCUGUUUGAUUGCCUGCAUCCGGACUAGCCAGCCUCUCCAGAUGCGACGUUAGCUUGUUUGGUUACCUGUGUCUGGCUGGCCAUAUGCAAAAAGCACCGCUGGGCCUGGCUCCCAAGAAAUGAGAGAAUCAGCCGUUCCCGGCGAGCCAGGCUCGUGGCAUGCGGACAUUAGUCCAGUUAAUGAUGCUGUUAGCACAUAAUGAAUGCAUGUUAAGCGAUUUUAAUUUAUUUCAAAGCAGAUUAGGACUUGGUAAGAUAAAG